GAGCCAUACCAGACUAAAAUCUAGAAUAAUAUUCGCAACCUCUGAGGUCAUACCGGACUAAAAUUUGGAUUAAUAUUUAUAUCCUCCGGGGCUAUCCGGACUAAAAUUUGGAUUUAUAUUUAUGCCCUUCGGAGCUUUACCGAUCUGACAUCUGGAUUAGUAUUUAUGCCCUUCAGAGUUUUAUUAGACUAAAAUCUGGAUUAAUAUUUACACCCUUCAUAGCUUUAUCGGACUGAAAUCUGAAUUAAUAUUUAUGUCCUUCGGAGCUUUACCAACUCAGAGAUUGGGUUUAGGAGAUCUUAUCCCCAUUCAUGCCUCUCGAGGCUAUAUCAGAAUAAAAUUUAGAUUAAUAUUUGUACCCUUUAGAGCUUUAUCGGAUUAAAAUCUGGAUUAAUAUUUAUGUCCUUUGG
This 410-nucleotide long non-coding RNA is filed under the name Elaeis guineensis (African oil palm). RNAcentral's name for it is "long non-coding RNA (EGUI_LNC002912)". The record is from RNAcentral. Lineage: Eukaryota; Viridiplantae; Streptophyta; Magnoliopsida; Arecales; Arecaceae.